AGCUCUAAUAGCGUAUAUUUAAGUUGUUGCAGUUAAAAGCUCGUAGUUGGAUUUUGGGUCGGAGCGACCGGUCCGCCGUUCCGGUGUGCACUGGUGGCUUCUUCCUUCUUGCCGGGGACUGCGUCUGGCAUUCGUUUGCUGGGCGUAGGAGUCGGCGUGGUUACUUUGAGUAAAUUAGAGUGUUCAAAGCAAGCUUGUGCUCUGCAUACUUUAGCAUGGAAUAACAUUAUAGGACUCUGGUUCUAUUUUGUUGGUUUUCGGAACCGGAGUAAUGAUUAAUAGGGACAGUCGGGGGCAUCCGUAUUUCAUUGUCAGAGGUGAAAUUCUUGGAUUUAUGAAAGACGAACUUCUGCGAAAGCAUUUGCCAAGGAUGUUUUCAUUAAUCAAGAACGAAGUAG
RNAcentral lists this ribosomal RNA (398 nucleotides) under uncultured eukaryote. Its description in RNAcentral is "SSU rRNA". It matches the Rfam family "Eukaryotic small subunit ribosomal RNA", at positions 587 to 992 of the family's 1831-position model. The record is from RNAcentral.